AUUUCUUUCAUUUUGACCUGUACCAGAUGUGCCAGUUUGAGUGUAGUAUCUGUUGGUAUCAGUUUAAUAUCUGAUAUGUCCUCUAUAGGAGGAUUCUAUAUUAAAUGGAGCUGUGAGCUGGAAAAGGAGCUAGCUCCGUCUGCUCCACAUUUUCAGGGUAGUAGUAGCUCAAGUAGUUAAGGUUU
Molecule: small nuclear RNA, 185 nt
Organism: Hemibagrus wyckioides
Lineage: Eukaryota; Metazoa; Chordata; Actinopteri; Siluriformes; Bagridae
Product: U2 spliceosomal RNA
Exons: 1
Source: RefSeq, a predicted model, not a curated record